Molecule: small nuclear RNA, 122 nt
Organism: Phodopus roborovskii (desert hamster)
Lineage: Eukaryota; Metazoa; Chordata; Mammalia; Rodentia; Cricetidae
Source: RefSeq, a predicted model, not a curated record
GUAUUUUAUGAAAGAAGAGGCUUGCAUCCCCAUUAACAAGGAUAGAAGAGACUCUGGCACCUAAAAUAUGAAUAAACUUAAUGCAUUGCCACAUAUUUUGAUUCAUAUAACCACUGUUAUUU